UCCUUUUUGUUGAUCCUUUCACAAAAUAGUGAAAGCAAAGACCGGAACCAGAACAGCUGACAAGGCCAGAAUUCAACAGGAGGCUCAGUCAACAGGAGUCUGGAUGUUUCUGCGGGAAGAGAACUACACAUUUCUAUUAGAAGGGAGAUAAUAUGCUUGUUCCUUUCUGCUGCAAAGCUUCCUCUUACUCAGUACUCGUCAAAAGUAAAUGGGACAGAUGGUCAUUCCACACAGGAAGUGGAAAUGGGAAGAAAAUAUGGACUUUCUGUGAGAUUCUGUUGGAAUUUUUGUUCAUUUAUCACAGAGUCUGUUCAUCUCAAAAGGUGCUUGAUGCUUUUCUUCCACAGCAAAUUCUUAAAAAAAACUUUUAUGGCCCCUGCUUUGUGUACCUUCUUCCCAUAUUGACUCCAACAUAAGUCAAAGAAAAAAACCUGAUAAAGAGAGGUCAUCUUACAUUCCAA
Long non-coding RNA from Dunckerocampus dactyliophorus (ringed pipefish), 461 nucleotides. RefSeq lists it as uncharacterized. The transcript has 3 exons. The record is from RefSeq and is a predicted model, not a curated record. Lineage: Eukaryota; Metazoa; Chordata; Actinopteri; Syngnathiformes; Syngnathidae.